GAUGAACGCUGGCGGCGUGCCUAAUACAUGCAAGUAGAACGCUGAAGGAAGGAGCUUGCUCUUUCCGGAUGAGUUGCGAACGGGUGAGUAACGCGUAGGUAACCUGCCUGGUAGCGGGGGAUAACUAUUGGAAACGAUAGCUAAUACCGCAUAACAGUAGAUGUUGCAUGAUAUCUACUUAAAAGGUGCAAUUGCACCACUACCAGAUGGACCUGCGUUGUAUUAGCUAGUUGGUGAGGUAACGGCUCACCAAGGCGACGAUACAUAGCCGACCUGAGAGGGUGAUCGGCCACACUGGGACUGAGACACGGCCCAGACUCCUACGGGAGGCAGCAGUAGGGAAUCUUCGGCAAUGGACGGAAGUCUGACCGAGCAACGCCGCCUGAGUGAAGAAGGUUUUCGGAUCGUAAAGCUCUGUUGUAAGAGAAGAACGAGUGUGAGAGUGGAAAGUUCACACUGUGACGGUAUCUUACCAGAAAGAGACGGCUAACUACGUG
RNAcentral lists this ribosomal RNA (497 nucleotides) under uncultured bacterium. RNAcentral describes it as "partial 16S ribosomal RNA". It matches the Rfam family "Bacterial small subunit ribosomal RNA", at positions 28 to 507 of the family's 1533-position model. The record is from RNAcentral.